Long non-coding RNA from Triticum aestivum (bread wheat), 939 nucleotides. RefSeq lists it as uncharacterized. The transcript is spliced from 4 exons. The record is from RefSeq and is a predicted model, not a curated record. Lineage: Eukaryota; Viridiplantae; Streptophyta; Magnoliopsida; Poales; Poaceae.
AUGCACUUUUUUCUCAUCCGUAUCGACGCCGCCACCGUCAAGCCCCCGCGCCCCCGCAAUCCCCUCCUCUCUCUUCCUCGGCCAGGGUCGGCGGCCGCACCUUCGCCGUGGCCCCCGAUUCCCUUUGCCAUCGCUGGUCCUCCCCCUCCUUCGUCGCGGCCUCGGUCGACAUAGGAAAGAUCGCCCAAUACCAACGAAGCGGAAGGACAAAGCCGUCGUCAGUGUCGUGUUUUGCGGCUCGUCGUCGUUCAGAUUCGAGGUCUCAUGCUUCGAUCUGAUUUCUUACAUGAGCAAGUGAAGAGCCGUGAUUGCUGCAUGUGUCUGCACAGUUUAAGUGGAUUGGUAAAUUCUGGAACUGCAUUGGCUUCUCCACCGGCAAACAGUUGGAGAAACUACACAGAUCAGGAGGUUGUCUGCCAACCAAAUGUACGCUAAUGCUUGCCUGGCGAUCUGGAGAUGCAGACAGUUGUGGAUCGCACUUGCUUAAUCUGCAUGAAUUUCUGCUUCAAGUACCUAGGCAGGCAUCAGUGUAACAGCUACUCAGCUGAUUUGAAGCAAAUGGAUGCUUACAUUACAGGUCUUAUGCUUGCACAGUUACACAUUUCAAGUGAAGAGCACUGCAUACGUCUGCACAUUUCAAGUGGAUUGUAGAUGGACACAUCCUAUUCUACACGAGCAGAGGAACUUCUCAGCAUACCGGCUUCUUCAGCAGCAAACAACGGGAGAAACUACGCGAGCUACCAACUAAAUACACGCCAACAUACAGCUGAAAACAAUGUCUAUUCUUCGCUAAUGCUUGCCUGGCAAUCAGGAGACGCAGACAGAUUGUGGAUCACACAUUCUUAAUCUGCAUAUGGUUCUGCUUCAAGUACAUCGUCAGCCAUUACUGUAAGAGCUACUUAGCUGGUUUGAAGCAACGGAUGCUCUACAUCACAGGUA